GUGGGGUUGUGUGAAAAGCUGUUUUUUUGUUGUUGUGAGCAGUGUAAAAACAUUGAAAAAAGUGAAAAAUUAAUUAUUACUAUGUCUAUGUUGUACCAGAGGCUUACAUCAGUAUAUCUAGUAGUCUAGUAACAUAUCACACACGUUUCCACCGGCUAUACUUCACUUACCUAUUCAUUUUUCUUUAUUUUCUUUUUUGACUUUAUCAAAACACAUCUGCCACCUCAUCAUCCCUAACCUCAUCUCCCUCAUCUCACAUUCGUUUUUUAAGAUCCAUUUUCAGGCCACCAUCGAUCUGAGCUUUUAUCUUCAUCUUUUGAAACCCGAAAUACCGAUCCAACUAAACCGCCAUCCGAGAAACCCGACAUCCGAUUUAACCGAUACAAAAAAUGGUCAGAAAUGGACUGCCGUUUAUCAACCGCGGUUGUCGAUCGGAUUGGGGUUUUUGGACCGAAUCCGACCCACGUCCGACCGAUGUCCACCCCUAUCUCAGACUACACAAACACGCGAACAGUUAAACCAAAACGCAAAACACCCAAAACCCUAGUCACAAUAUCGAUCCCUUCUUCCUUAUCGCAAAACUCUUCUUCCAUAGAUUCCUUCUUCUUGUUCCAUAUCGAUUCUUCUUCCUUAUCGCAAUUCGCAAACCUUUCCUUGCAACGAAAAUCUAAACCCUAGUCACACAAAUACCCUGGUUGUGAUUUCUGAAAUCGAAUUGAAGCUCUCUGGUUGUGAUUUAUCAGCUUUAUUCUCUUUCUUGUUUUCAGAUUUACACUUCUCAUUUGUAGGAAUCACACUUCUCAAUAUCUCAUUUGAAGAACAAAUGAAAAAGUAAGCAUACAAGAAAAAAGGAGCUCUCAUGUCAAGAGUCAAUACACCCACUGAACUGAGUUCUCAACUAUAAAAUCUGAGUUAACAAAUAAAAAAGGAAGCAAAAAAAAAAAUGAACUCUCGUGUCAAGAGUCAAAGGGGUGCUUCCAGUUUUGAGCUGCCCCAGAUGAUCAUGGAAGGUCUAAUAAAUUCAUCACAUGUUGUUGAGGAGUGCUUCAGUUGGAUUGUGCAGCCUGAAUAUGAGGAAGCAUCGGAUGAUAGAAAAACUACAUUAUAUUGUCAUGUAAAGUAGAGAAAGCAAUAUCACUCUUCAAGUUUGAGUUCCAUACAAAAUAGUUAUACUUUAGGUGAUAAAAAUGAAAGCUCGUGAAUGUAUACAUCACGGUAAAAUUAGAAGUAGAAAUUUAUCAUGUAAUCUAGUGUAAUACUUGCUUAGGCAAGAUGUUGUCACGAUACAUGGAAUGAGAGUUUUUUGUUUUAUAUUAAACUUUAAAUAGAAUAUUACUUUAUAUA
Long non-coding RNA from Trifolium pratense (red clover), 1344 nucleotides. RefSeq lists it as uncharacterized. The transcript has 4 exons. NCBI's taxonomy places the organism in Eukaryota, Viridiplantae, Streptophyta, Magnoliopsida, Fabales, Fabaceae. The record is from RefSeq and is a predicted model, not a curated record.